CCUACGGGAGGCAGCAGUAGGGAAUCUUCGGCAAUGGACGGAAGUCUGACCGAGCAACGCCGCGUGAGUGAAGAAGGUUUUCGGAUCGUAAAGCUCUGUUGUAAGAGAAGAACGAGUGUGAGAGUGGAAAGUUCACACUGUGACGGUAUCUUACCAGAAAGGGACGGCUAACUACGUGCCAGCAGCCGCGGUAAUACGUAGGUCCCGAGCGUUGUCCGGAUUUAUUGGGCGUAAAGCGAGCGCAGGCGGUUAGAUAAGUCUGAAGUUAAAGGCUGUGGCUUAACCAUAGUACGCUUUGGAAACUGUUUAACUUGAGUGCAAGAGGGGAGAGUGGAAUUCCAUGUGUAGCGGUGAAAUGCGUAGAUAUAUGGAGGAACACCGGUGGCGAAAGCGGCUCUCUGGUCUGUAACUGACGCUGAGGCUCGAAAGCGUGGGGAGCGAACAGGAUUAGAUACCCUGGUAGUCCACGCCGUAAACGAUGAGUGCUAGGUGUUAGACCCUUUCCGGGGUUUAGUGCCGUAGCUAACGCAUUAAGCACUCCGCCUGGGGAGUACGACCGCAAGGUUGAAACUCAAAGGAAUUGACGG
This 587-nucleotide ribosomal RNA is filed under the name uncultured bacterium. RNAcentral describes it as "bacterial SSU rRNA". It matches the Rfam family "Bacterial small subunit ribosomal RNA", at positions 338 to 916 of the family's 1533-position model. The record is from RNAcentral.